GAACGCUAGCGACAGGCUUAACACAUGCAAGUCGAGGGGCAGCGGGGUGUAGCAAUACACCGCCGGCGACCGGCGCACGGGUGAGUAACGCGUAUGCAACUUGCCUAUCAGAGGGGGAUAACCCGGCGAAAGUCGGACUAAUACCGCAUGAAGCAGGGGCCCCGCAUGGGGAUAUUUGCUAAAGAUUCAUCGCUGAUAGAUAGGCAUGCGUUCCAUUAGGCAGUUGGCGGGGUAACGGCCCACCAAACCGACGAUGGAUAGGGGUUCUGAGAGGAAGGUCCCCCACAUUGGUACUGAGACACGGACCAAACUCCUACGGGAGGCAGCAGUGAGGAAUAUUGGUCAAUGGGCGCGAGCCUGAACCAGCCAAGUCGCGUGAGGGAUGAAGGUUCUAUGGAUCGUAAACCUCUUUUAUAAGGGAAUAAAGUGCGGGACGUGUCCCGUUUUGUAUGUACCUUAUGAAUAAGGAUCGGCUAACUCCGUGCCAGCAGCCGCGGUAAUACGGAGGAUCCGAGCGUUAUCCGGAUUUAUUGGGUUUAAAGGGUGCGUAGGCGGCCUUUUAAGUCAGCGGUGAAAGUCUGUGGCUCAACCAUAGAAUUGCCGUUGAGACUGGGGGGCUUGAGUAUGUUUGAGGCAGGCGGAAUGCGUGGUGUAGCGGUGAAAUGCUUAGAUAUCACGCAGAACCCCGAUUGCGAAGGCAACCUGCCAAGCCAUGACUGACGCUGAUGCACGAAAGCGUGGGGAUCAAACAGGAUUAGAUACCCUGGUAGUCCACGCAGUAAACGAUGAUCACUAGCUGUUUGCGAUACAGUGUAAGCGGCACAGCGAAAGCGUUAAGUGAUCCACCCUGGGGAGUACGCCGGCAACGGUGAAACUCAAAGGAAUUGACGGGGGCCCGCACAAGCGGAGGAACAUGUGGUUUAAUUCGAUGAUACGCGAGGAACCUUACCCGGGUUUGAACGCAUUCGGACCGAGGUGGAAACACCUUUUCUAGCAAUAGCCGUUUGCGAGGUGCUGCAUGGUUGUAGUCAGCUCGUGCCGUGAGGUGUCGGCUUAAGUGCCAUAACGAGCGCAACCCUUGCCACUAGUUACUAACAGGUAAAGCUGAGGACUCUGGUGGGACUGCCAGCGUAAGCUGCGAGGAAGGCGGGGAUGACGUCAAAUCAGCACGGCCCUUACAUCCGGGGCGACACACGUGUGACAAUGGCGUGGACAAAGGGAUGCCACCUGGCGACAGGGAGCGAAUCCCCAAACCACGUCUCAGUUCGGAUCGGAGUCUGCAACCCGACUCCGUGAAGCUGGAUUCGUUAGUAAUCGAGCAUCAGCCAUGGCGCGGUGAAUACGUUCCCGGGCCUUGUACACACCGCCCGUCAAGCCAUGGGAGCCGGGGGUACCAGAAGUCCGUAACCGCGAGGAUCGGCCUAGGGUAAAACUGG
This 1436-nucleotide ribosomal RNA is filed under the name uncultured organism. Its description in RNAcentral is "SSU rRNA". It matches the Rfam family "Bacterial small subunit ribosomal RNA". The record is from RNAcentral.